Long non-coding RNA from Eupeodes corollae, 1141 nucleotides. RefSeq lists it as uncharacterized. NCBI's taxonomy places the organism in Eukaryota, Metazoa, Arthropoda, Insecta, Diptera, Syrphidae. The transcript has 3 exons. The record is from RefSeq and is a predicted model, not a curated record.
GACUCGCGAGUCGAACGUUCGACUCAAGUCGAACGAUUUGGCGAAUUGCCUAAGUCGUGGUAUUAUGAAAGGCGAACUUCGACGUUCGCUUUUGAAAACAAUAUUACCAACUUUAAGAAGUGAAAUAUGUAACGUCAUGACUCGUGAAACGUCAAAGACUGAAAAUUAUUGUUGAUGAUAUAUUGUUUACAAUUUGGAAAAAAGUAAAAUGAAUAAAACAAAAUAUGAUAAGCAGUGUUGAUUUAUUUUUUGAAGAUUAAGAUGAAAACGAAAGAGCGGAGAAAGUAUUGGUGUGUAGAUUACGAAGAAGUUUAAGGGACAACUCCAACCCACUUCAACUUCCAGAUAAUUUGUUUGUGUCAUAUUUUCGCGUUAAUAAGCAUGCAUUUGGUUAUAUUUUAAACAUCAUUACACCAGGAUUUAAAACUACUCAAAGUUCUGCAAUUCCACCAUAUAUAAAACUUGCAUGUGCGUUGCGUUUUCUCGGCAGUGGAAGCUUCUAAAAUGGUGUGGGAAGUGACUUUGAGCUGGGUCUCGCGCAAUCUACAGUUUCAGUAGUUCUAAGUGAAGUGCUUGAUUUACUUGAAGUGAAAAUUUGUCCUGUGUGGAUAAAGGCAGACAUGUCUACCUCUGAAAAACAAGAAGCAAGAAAUUACUUUUUUGAAAGGGCCAGAUUACCCGGAAUAGUGGGCUGUGUAGAUGGGACUCACAUUGGAAUAAUCGCUCCUGUUCAGCUACAACAUCAAUUUUUAAACAGAAAAGAUUUUAUAGUUUGAAUGUUAGUGGUGGCCUGUGACAAUAAUGGAAUUAUAAGAUUUAUUGAUUCCAGAUAUCCAGGUUCAACACAUGACUCUUUUGUGUGGAAUCAUAGUGAAUUAAAGGAUCUUUUGGAAAGCUGGUGGUUGAAUGGAGAGCGGUCAAGUUAUCUAGGUGUGAAUAUAUUCCAUUCGUAGGUAAAGAAUUAAAUGGGCUAUUUUUAAGAACAAUUUUUUUUUUCAAAAAUACUAGGCUUGGUUUUUUUUUGAAGAUCCGAAAGAUCCUAUACCUUUCGCAUUUUCGGGGUUUGUCUCCAUAAUUUCAACGAGCUUUGAAAAUUGGUUGGAGUUGGUUUUUUUUAUGCUAGGUAUACAAAAAAAAUUCU